GGAAUCUCCUUGGAGCUUUAGGACAUACUGGUGGCUGGGUCCCAUGCCUACAGAUGCUGCUUAACUGGUCUGGUGAGUAGGGAUGUUAAAACUGCCAGGGGCUGUAAUGGGCGGCAAAGUUUGAGAACCGUGAUUUAGAGCUGUGGUUCUCAAAGUGUGGUUCCCAGACCAGAAGCAUCAGCAUCACUUAGAAACUGAGAAAUGCAAAGUUUCAGCCCCCACUCAGAUGUGCUGAAUCACAAACCGGGGAUCUGGGAUGAAGCAGGGUGUGGAAACCCAGAGGCCUCCCUGGGGUGAGCACCCUGCAGGCACCUGACAGGUCCUGGCAGAUUUGGAGUUUGGGGGAACGAGGCAACUUGUCUGGUUGGAUGGAGGUGUCUUGUGAACAGACUUCAUGUUAAGACAGGUGAGGUGUCACAUGCCCGCCUUCCCUCCAGCCUGAUGGGGGAGCCAGCACACCUGGGUCUCAGGCGAUGAUUCUGACUCAAACCGUGCUCCAUCCUCUGUGCCACUCAGAGACUCAGUUUCUCACUGCUGCAAACAUGGGUUAUCUCUUCUAUUUUCUCCAAUACUUGUGUUUUCAUCCUAGAAAUGGAGCUGCAUAGAAACUAACACUAGAAACUGACCACCCCCCUGCCUAUUCCUCCAGACCCCUGGACAACGGUUGCUUUCUUUGUGCCUUUUGUUAUAUACUUUUUUCCUCUCGGACAAGGAAACAUCCUGCCUCUGAGCCCAAAUAUAUCCCAUGCUGUUCCCUGGAUAUCUCAGAAUGGGUUUCCUCUUGACCUGUUGAUUCAGGGACCCCAUCUGUUUCUUCUGGCAAAUGGCCCCUCAGUCCAGGUCUCCCCAGACUUCUGUUGGUCUUCCUUCUCCCCUCUCUCCAAUCCUCACAAGGCAAAGACACUUCCACCCUCACCACCUCCAUCUGCGUCCCAGAGCACCCAGGACAGAAUUAAGCCUGAGCUUUACCCAUUUGUUGAAGGUAAAACAGUGAACUCUCUUCACAUACACCCUGAGUCCUUUUCCUGCAUGUGCUGUGUCUGAGUCUAAGAGCUUCACCUUCUCCAGAGCAAAACACAUAGUGGAUUCUUAUCUU
Molecule: long non-coding RNA, 1096 nt
Filed under: Equus caballus (horse)
Lineage: Eukaryota; Metazoa; Chordata; Mammalia; Perissodactyla; Equidae
Description: lncRNA (ENSECAG00000060099.1)
Source: RNAcentral